Musa acuminata AAA Group (dessert banana) is the source of this 1303-nucleotide long non-coding RNA. RefSeq lists it as uncharacterized. Lineage: Eukaryota; Viridiplantae; Streptophyta; Magnoliopsida; Zingiberales; Musaceae. The transcript is spliced from 2 exons. The record is from RefSeq and is a predicted model, not a curated record.
UAUUCUUUUGUUUCUUAUAUGGCGGAAGUGAUGCAGCAGCUGAUCCCUGACCUCUUCAGCGAGGCCAGGGGACAAGUCAACCGCUCAUGCGCUGGCCUCGGGAAUUGGACACCAUUUUUAAUGCAAUCCCCGUUCCAAUCUUAUUUAUGAACUUGCGAGUCCGCCAAGCUGAUUCCAAUUGAGGCUUGGAAGUCUCGUGAGUUGAGGUGAAGGAUGGUGGAAGGAAGGGGAAACGCUCGGCUCCCUUCCACCUCCCUCGACCUCUCCGGCGAACUCGUCUGAUCCGGUCCGUCGCCUGUUGCCCUCCGGGGCUGGUUCCAUGAACGCUCGGUUGACAUCCGACGGCUCCAUCUUGGGUGGCACCGCCAUUUCACUGCAGCAGAGCUCCAUUUACUCGACGUUGAAGCAGCGCAGAAGCCGGGUCCCCUGAUGGAGAGGUCGAAGAGCGAAGCGCCGACGAGGAGCCGCUUCGCUACGCCAGACGAGGCCGGAGACCACAUCGAGUGCACCGGUGCGUCGUGCCGGUCGUGCACCGCGGUCCUCGUCGCCGACUGCAUCGCGCUGGGUUGCUGCCCCUGCGCGGUGGUGAACAUGCUGGCCUUGACCUUGGUUAAGGUCCCCUGGGUGGUGUCGAGGAGAUGUUUGGCAAUGCUGAAGAGGAAAGGGGGGUCGCUACGCAGAAGAAGGGUAAGAGACGAGGGAGGAGAAGCGGAGAAGAUGACAGAGGUGGUCAUUAAGGGAAGGGAAGGGAAGAGCCUGGAGAAGAUACGAGAGUGGGACGAGGAGGGCAUCUGGGGAACGAGGGACGGAGAGAACGGCCGUGGAGGUCCAAGACUCGAUGCUGAUAAGGUGUGGAUGGAACUGUAUCAGAUCGGGCACUGGGGGUUCGGGAGGUUGUCCUUCUCGGGAACUCAAGGGAGGGGCAACUAGGGAAGGCGCAGGGUGGGAGUGCCCGAGAUGCCCCUGCCACCUCUGGUGAGUGAUGAUGGGUUUUGGAAGCUACUGCUACGGGAAGGCAUGAGAGAUGCACUGUGCCGCGUGGGGUUGUCUCUGCUUGUUUGCGCAAGGUUACAAGUCUGCGAGAGAGAUGGAAAUGUCCUGUUGGUUUCCCUUCUCUAUCAUUAGUUGCAUUGCUGAGAUUCCUUUCUCUCAGGUGCAUUGAUUGAGAAAAGCUGUACUGAUUCUUGUGACUUGUGUUAGGUGUUACAUAAUCGUAUUGAUGCAGCCCAAAUUUGAUGCAGCCAAUAAUGGUAUUAUCAUGUCUAAGUCUUUAAUGUUUGACAACAUGGAAGCUGUUUAAACA